Molecule: long non-coding RNA, 226 nt
Filed under: Salvia miltiorrhiza (redroot sage)
Lineage: Eukaryota; Viridiplantae; Streptophyta; Magnoliopsida; Lamiales; Lamiaceae
Description: long non-coding RNA (SMIL_LNC011645)
Source: RNAcentral
UCUAUACUAGACGUAUAUAUUAGUGAAAGUAAACGAUGAAAAAUGAAAAUAAUAAUGAUGAAAUAAAAAUUUUAUUAAGAAAACAAAAAUAAUAAUGAUAACGAAAAAUGAUGAAAUGCCCAAUUAAAACGAUCACUUUAGUUAAUUCUUAAAAAAAAAAGAUCUCUUUAGUAAGUUGGAGGGAAAAAAAAAUUUGAAUUAUUCAAGCAUACGCCCUAUCACCCGG